UACGUAGGGGGCAAGCGUUGUCCGGAUUUAUUGGGCGUAAAGAGCGUGUAGGCGGCUAGGUAGGUCCGUUGUGAAAACUCGAGGCUCAACCUCGAGACGUCGAUGGAAACCAUCUAGCUAGAGUCCGGAAGAGGAGAGUGGAAUUCCUGGUGUAGCGGUGAAAUGCGCAGAUAUCAGGAAGAACACCAGUGGCGAAGGCGACUUACUGGACGAUUGUUGACGCUGAGGUGCGAAAGCGUGGGGAGCAAACAGG
This 253-nucleotide ribosomal RNA is filed under the name uncultured bacterium. RNAcentral describes it as "partial 16S ribosomal RNA". It matches the Rfam family "Bacterial small subunit ribosomal RNA", at positions 524 to 776 of the family's 1533-position model. The record is from RNAcentral.